Trichobilharzia regenti is the source of this 45-nucleotide non-coding RNA. NCBI's taxonomy places the organism in Eukaryota, Metazoa, Platyhelminthes, Trematoda, Strigeidida, Schistosomatidae. The record is from Rfam.
AUCCAGAUGAUGAGUCUCAAAUAGGAGGAAAUGCGCAUCCUGGCU